UACAGAGGUCCCAAGCGUUGUUCGGAUUCACUGGGCGUAAAGGGUGCGUAGGUGGUGAGGUAAGUCGGAUGUGAAAUCUCCGAGCUCAACUCGGAAAUGGCAUUGGAAACUACCUUGCUCGAGGGUUGGAGGGGGGACUGGAAUGCUUGGUGUAGCAGUGAAAUGCGUAGAUAUCAAGAGGAACACCAGUGGCGAAGGCGAGUCCCUGGACAACUCCUGACACUGAGGCACGAAAGCUAGGGGAGCAAACAGG
RNAcentral lists this ribosomal RNA (253 nucleotides) under uncultured bacterium. RNAcentral describes it as "partial 16S ribosomal RNA". It matches the Rfam family "Bacterial small subunit ribosomal RNA", at positions 524 to 776 of the family's 1533-position model. The record is from RNAcentral.